Symphalangus syndactylus (siamang) is the source of this 4739-nucleotide long non-coding RNA. RefSeq lists it as uncharacterized. The record is from RefSeq and is a predicted model, not a curated record. Lineage: Eukaryota; Metazoa; Chordata; Mammalia; Primates; Hylobatidae.
UGAAGAGGAGAAACCCUCCUGAAGAGGAGAAACCCUCCCGAAGAGGAGAAACCCUCCCGAAGAAGAGAAACCCUCCUGAAGCUCUUUUGAACAACAUCAUCUCCACGCCACACAUUUUGUGCCAAAGCUCGGCAUUGUACACAGAGCCUUGGAACACACGUGCUCCAUUCUGGGUCUCUACUCAUCACUCUCAGCGUUUGGAGAGGAAGGUAAAAGGGAGGCAUUUUUACUCCCAUCUCAUAUUUGUAUAAUGAGACAGAGGAGGGAACUAAGUGACGACCGGUGGCCGUCAGAGGGCAGGCGGUGGAGUGAAGGAGACAGAAAGUGAGAGAUGAGGGUUUGGAAGUGGAUCUGGAGUUUCUGUUUAUGUAUUCAACUUAUUAGGCUCUUGAGCGGGUCUCAUACAUUUUAUUGAGAAAAUUUAAGUCUUUGGCCCAGUUAUGAAAAGCUGAAAAAUGCAUAACCCAUCUCUUUCUAGACUGGGGUGCACAGUCUGGACUGGCCUCAUGCAUAUUGAUUUACCUGACUCUCCCCCCGCCCACCCCCACCCCACCCCCACCCAGACUCCAUCUCUCUGUCAGUCUCUCUGCAAACACUCCCUUUGGAGGUUGGUGAGGCUCACUUCUCCCUCUCCAGGGAACUCAUCCUGCAUCUCACUCCUCUCUCUUGCCCUGCCCCGCUCUCCUACCCUCCUGCCUGUGGCCCAGCAGGGCUUCGUGCCAGCCCACAGGCCCUACUUCUGUAGCUGCACAAACACCGCUAAGCCCUCCAGGCUCCCAGGAGCUGGGCCUGCCCUCCACGGGAGAUUAAGAGCCACAGUGAGUCAGCAGCCCAGCUGGGCCUCUGUCAGCUGGGGCAUCCCUCGUCUCCUCUCCCCUCUGGACUCCUUCUCCCCGUUCUGCCAGCCCUUAAGACAGCAUCUGCCCCCAUACUGGGCCAGCAGAGUCCCAGCUUGGCCCCUCCCUGCCCCUAUCCCAGCUCUGGAGCUGUCCCGCCAAAUGCCUUGGCCUUUAUGGUUGCCCGUGUCUACAAGGCAGAGAAGCCCGCAGCUAUGUGGUCACAGUGGCAUUCUGGAAGGCUGAGGGAAUAGGAUGUGCCUCCUCUCGGUGGCUGUGACCCUCUGGGUUCAAGGAGGGAGAACUAAACAGCUGCCAAGACUCAUCCGCAGGCCCUGGGUGCCUACACACUUUGAAUCACAGCUACUGUACCGUGCUGAGUCACUGCCAGGAAUCUGAGGAGACAAUAAGCCCCUAUUUUAAAAAGAUUUGCCAGCAUACCCGGGCUUUUACAAAUGCUUGAGAAUUAUUGCCAAAAAUAGAUAUUGGUUUAGGGUCUCCAGUGCUGUCCCGGCAGCUCCGGUGAUGAGGGGCCUGCACCAUGUAUGCAGUCCAAACCUUGCCACAAAGGGGGCCUGGAUGUCAGCAAGCCGGGCACCCCUAGACCCGACACGGGGGGCAUUGUGGACCACGCCUUUGCUGCUCGAGGGGAGGAAGGGGAACCGCAGGAGGAGCUCUUAGUGCCAACUUUGAAGAACAGAGAUUGUGUCUUUGUGCCAACUACUCUGAGUCACUUAAUGCCAUUCCCAUUCACGAGAAGAGAAAAAUCUGGUACACAGGACUAACUAGUUUGAAUUUCCAAUUUCUUGGCAAUCCAAGAAUUUCAGGCUUCUAUAAAUAGCAAGUCCUCCAGUGCUCCCUCCUCUGAUGGGGGCUGCCCCCUUCCAACCUUGUAUUCAUUCAGUGAGCCUUUAGAGAGCUACAGACUAGAGAGCCACCCUGUGCCUCAGAGGUUAUCUCAUGCAACCCCUCACUUAACCGACGAGCAGGGGUGGAACUUGUCCAUGUCACAGAACUAAAUACCAGGUGCCCAGCCCUGGGGCGAACCCUAUAGAGAGGAAGAUGGAAGAGACACAACCUCUUCUCUCAGAGCCCCAGAUUACCGGAGGAAGCAGUCACUUGCUCACAGAGCAACGAUACAAGGGAAAAUGUAAUUCUAUCCAUAAAAAGUUGAAAUGGCCGGGCGCGGUGGCUCACGCCUGUAAUCCCAGGCCUUUGGGAGGCCAAGGCGGGUGGAUCACUUGAGGUCAGGAGUUUGAGACCAGCUUGGCCAACAUGGAGAAACCCCAUCUCUAUAAAAAUCCAAAAAUUAGCCAGGCGUGGUCGUGGGUGCCUGUAAUCCCAGCUACUGGGAGGCUGAGGCAGGAGAAUCACUUGCAACCAUGAGGUGGAGGUUGCAGUGAGCCGAGAUCACGCCACUGCAAUCCAGCCUGCGCGACAGAGCAGGACUCUGUCUCAAAAAAAAAAAAAAAAAAAAAAAAGUUGAAAUGAAGAAUCGUGGGAGAGCAAAGACACCAGGUCAUUCCUGCACAAGGAAUCUGGAAGGAUAUCAUGGGGAAGAGUAUUAGAGUUGACCCUCCAGGGAUGGGUUGGAUUUAGACAUUCAGGGAUAGAAGAAAGGCGAAAGGGAUAUGCAGAUAAAAGAAACAGCUUAAGACAGCAGAGAUGGGAUGUCUAAGGAAUGCAGGCCAGUUUGGCUGUUAUACAGGAUGUUGAAACGAAAUGAUGGGGGUGGGAAGGGGAGUCGGUUACGGGGCUGGAUGAUGGAAGGUACGGAAUGACAGGGUGAGGAAUUUGAACAUCACCAUCAUCAUUAUCAUCUAAAAGCACCAGAUGGCAAGUUGCCAGGCAUCUUACUGAGCACGAUUACUCAUGUAUUGCAGAGUCUGCACUUUAUAGGAACUUGAAAUUUAAGAAAGAAUAAAAUUAUGGGCAGAUAUUGAAGCUAUAUAUUAUACAUAAAUGAAAGUUAUUUAACACAUAAGUAUUUCAGUGUAAGUAAAGGAGCAAGUGCAUUUAAUGGACUAGUGAGGGAAGAAGGCAUCUGGGAAUUUGUUCCUGGAAGGGAUCCCUCUAUCCUCAGCCUCCCCUGUGUUCGGCAGCUCUGGGAAAGGCCCAGAAAAGCAGAGAUAGCAGUCUUGAUAUUAGACACUGACUUAGUGUGGCUUUGUGUCUUCUAGAUGGCUGAUUUCUGAGAAGGAACAGUUCAUUCUUAGUCGUUGCUCCAGCUCUCCUUUAAGUCCAGUCCUGAGAUUAUAGCCCAUAGAGGAACACAGAUUGGAGAGGACAGGGAGAUGGUGGACAGGGCCCACGGAGUACCGCUGUGCAGGUUAUCUACUGCACAAGAAGUGGCAAAAGAAGGCAUGUGCAAGAAGCGAUGCACAGGAUGCUUAGUGCAGCACUGCUGUAAGAAAACACUGGAAAAGCCGGGUGCGGUGGCUCAAGCCUGUAAUCCCAGCACUUUGGGAAGCCAAGUUGGAUGGAUCACAAGCAAGAAGAAAGGCCUUCCUGCUUUGAAGGGCAAAUGCAUUCAUUCACAAUCGGGUGUUAAAUACCCACUGUAGGCCAGUUGCUGUUGGAGAGAAAAAAAUGAAUGCUGCCAGCUGCAUCGUGGAGGCUCUCUCUGUCUAGUAGAGGAGACAAGACUUGUAAACCAGGGUGCGUCAUAGGAAGUUGGAUAAAAGGAUCCGAGGAAGGCCAGCUGGCUGCAGAUAAUGGCAGAUCCGGGAGUCCUGGCUUGUGGUGGAGGACAAAGUGUGGGAGAGAUCAGUCAAGGAGAGCGUUGAUGGGAUGAGAAGAGGAAAGAAGCUCACUCUGGAAUCUCUCAGGAUCCAACAGAGCAGGAAGAGACCUAGGGAAAGAGGCCAGGAUUUCAUUUCCCUAGGACAGUCACAGAAGAGUCAACAGAGGAUUCGGUUCUGGCACCUCCACCCCAAACUUGGGCUCCUCUCUUCCAAGGGCGGGAGGGCCCUCUGAUUCUGUUUGUGCAGCUGGCACUGGCCACGCAGAGCUGCCUCUGGGAGUUGACUGGGUAGGCAGGAACAAGCAGACAGGGCCUCAGCUGCAGCGUGGAGGUGGGUGGAUGUACCUGGACACGCAGGAUACCAGGGCUGCUAACAGCAUCCUCUGACUGGCCUAGGGUGGUCAUGUCCACGGUGCUGGUGCUCUGCCCCUUUGCCUUCAUGGUGUUGUCUGCUGGCUUCUUCCCAAUAGUUUCUUUUGAGACGCAAAUUCUCCAGGCCACAGAAGAGAAGAGAAGGAGCAGACACGUCCUCCGGCCUGUGUGUGAACGCAGGACUUCGGUUCACCCGUGGUGAGCGGCAGGCACCUUCUACAACCCUGAAUUAAAGGCUCCUUCAAUAUAGAUUUUUGUCUUUAUGUCACUCAGAUGUCAUUUUUCCAUGAAUAAAGGGCAAGCUGAGUCUAGCCUUCAAGGACUCCAUGAUUUGGCUCCAGAUUGCUGAGCUGUGCCUGUUAGCUUCAACGUGUGUCUCCUGAUCCAUUCUCCACCCUCUGUCAUCCUGCUCUCCCCCAAGAGGCUGACCCAGAGCGGCUCCCUGGCUUCUGUUGGGCUCAGCCAAAGGGAAGCUCUAGGACACCUGAGGAAGGGAGGACUGUGAGGUCGCGGGAUCUCAGUGUGGAUCCUGGUUUUAUGGCCAAAGCUUACAGUAUUACCAGCCCACAAUUAUGAACAAAAUGUUAGAUACGAAAGUGAAUCUCCAUUUAGAAUGAGAAAAGAAAUGGUGACAAAUUACACUUUUUAAAAAGCUUACAAACAACACAGAUAUCACAAAAUGUAGAAAAAUAACGAUAUUUUUCUUAGUUGCCUAGAAAACUCUACAAUACCUUUUCCCAUAUCUUCCUGCUGCAAAUACUUCACGUCUCAUACAACAACUGUGUAAU